GAUGAAGAACGUAGCGAAAUGCGAUACUUGGUGUGAAUUGCAGAAUCCCGAGAACCAUCGAGUCUUUGAACGCAAGUUGCGCCCGAAGCCAUUAGGCCGAGGGCACGCCUGCCUGGGCGUCACACGUCGUUGCCCCCCCAUCUACUCCUUCGGGAUUGCGGGGGGCGGAUGAUGGCCUCCCGUGCGCCUCGUCGCGCGGUUGGCAUAAAUGCCAAGUCCUCGGCGACGCACGCCACGACAAUCGGUGGUUGCGAAACCUCGGUUGCCCGUCGUGUGCGGUCGUCGCGCAUCGAGGGCUCGAAAAAAUUGCCGGGCUCCGGCUCGGCUUUCAACGCGACCCCAGGUCAGGCGGGGUUACCCGCUGAAUUUAAGCAUAUCAAUAAGCGGAGGA
This 391-nucleotide unclassified non-coding RNA is filed under the name soil metagenome. RNAcentral describes it as "partial contains 5.8S ribosomal RNA, internal transcribed spacer 2, and large subunit ribosomal RNA". The stretch from base 1 to 122 matches the Rfam family "5.8S ribosomal RNA", at positions 35 to 154 of the family's 154-position model. The record is from RNAcentral.